This 460-nucleotide ribosomal RNA is filed under the name uncultured bacterium. Its description in RNAcentral is "partial 16S ribosomal RNA". It matches the Rfam family "Bacterial small subunit ribosomal RNA", at positions 338 to 795 of the family's 1533-position model. The record is from RNAcentral.
CCUACGUGAGGCAGCAGUGAGGAAUAUUGGUCAAUGGGCGCGAGCCUGAACCAGCCAAGUAGCGUGAAGGAUGACUGCCCUACGGGUUGUAAACUUCUUUUAUAAAGGAAUAAAGUGAGGCACGUGUGCCUUUUUGUAUGUACUUUAUGAAUAAGGAUCGGCUAACUCCGUGCCAGCAGCCGCGGUAAUACGGAGGAUCCGAGCGUUAUCCGGAUUUAUUGGGUUUAAAGGGAGCGUGGAUGGGUUGUUAAGUCAGUUGUGAAAGUUUGCGGCUCAACCGUAAAAUUGCAAUUGAUACUGGCAGUCUUGAGGACAGUUGAGGUAGGCGGAAUUCGUGGUGUAGCGGUGAAAUGCUUAGAUAUCACGAAGAACUCCGAUUGCGAAGGCAGCUUACUAAACUGCCACUGACAUUGAUGCUCGAAAGUGUGGGUAUCAAACAGGAUUAGAUACCCUAGUAGUC